RNAcentral lists this ribosomal RNA (253 nucleotides) under uncultured bacterium. RNAcentral describes it as "partial 16S ribosomal RNA". It matches the Rfam family "Bacterial small subunit ribosomal RNA", at positions 524 to 776 of the family's 1533-position model. The record is from RNAcentral.
UACGUAGGGGGCAAGCGUUGUCCGGAUUCAUUGGGCGUAAAGAGCGUGUAGGCGGCCAGGUAGGUCGGUUGUGAAAACUGGAGGCUCAACCUUCAGAGGUCGACCGAAACCAUCUGGCUAGAGUCCGGAAGAGGAGAGUGGAAUUCCCGGUGUAGCGGUGAAAUGCGCAGAUAUCGGGAAGAACACCAGUGGCGAAGGCGGCUCGCUGGGACGGUACUGACGCUGAGACGCGAAAGCGUGGGGAGCGAACAGG